Molecule: long non-coding RNA, 477 nt
Filed under: Anas platyrhynchos (mallard)
Lineage: Eukaryota; Metazoa; Chordata; Aves; Anseriformes; Anatidae
Description: lncRNA (ENSAPLG00020017847.1)
Source: RNAcentral
AUGGGGGCUCAUUUCGCUCUCCCCAGCAGCAGAUGCUUUUGUGCUUGGCGGCCGAACCCAAAAAUCUGCCUUGGCCUACUGGGAAAUGGGAGUACCGUCAGCACCAGAAAGGAUUACGUCUCGGCCCUGGUGUUGAGUCCUGUGGUUUUCACCAGCAGCCUCGUAGCUUGCUCGCAUCCAAGAUUUGCUGAUUUUUGCAUUGCCCGAAUUGGAAAGAAAGGGUCAUUUGGAAAUGUGUUCAGACACAGUAACAAUCUGCAAUCAGCCGCCGUACCAGAACCUGGCGCAGCUCUUGGUCUUGGGGUCGUAGUACCACUUCAGCACGAAGUCCCUGCAGGUCCCCUCUUCCUUCUGCAGCCGGCAGAUGUCCGUGGCUGCAAGGAAAAGCAGGAGCACCAAGGGAAAAAUAAACCAAGAUAUGCCGAGUACACCAGCAACAAGUGGUCAGGAAAUCCAGGACCUGAAAUUGCCUUGUGA